ACUUCAGGACUAGAUGCAAGGGCAGCUGCAAUUGUGAUGAGAACAGUUAGAAACACAGUAGACACAGGAAGAACUGUUGUCUGCACAAUUCACCAGCCCAGCAUUGACAUAUUUGAAGCUUUUGAUGAGGUAAGUUGAAGCAAGGGCCAAAAUUGCACAAUUCUUGGAUGCCUCUCAUACGAACACUAACAGGCUAUUCUUGAACUUCUGCAGCUGUUUCUGAUGAAACGAGGAGGUGAAGAAAUAUAUGUGGGCCCCCUGGGACACAACUCAUGCCAUCUCAUCAAUUACUUUGAGGUGAGCCUCGAUACUUAAAUACUGAAGUGAACACCAAAUUUCCAACUUAAGACAUGCAUGGUAACCUUGCUCGCUGCUCCAAAUUUAGGGUAUACAAGGAGUGAGGAAAAUCAAGGAUGGUUACAAUCCUGCAACAUGGAUGUUGGAGGUUACCACCCUAGCCCAAGAAGAUAUCCUUGGCAUCAACUUUGCUGAAGUAUACAGGAAUUCUGAUCUAUACCAGUAUGUUUCAUGACAAAAGCCCCCCAAAAUGUUCUUUUUCUGCUUUUUCUGUGUUAUAUCACUGAUUCAAUUGCACCAUUGCAGGAGGAAUAAAACAUUGAUAAGUGAAUUAAGCACACCUCCACCUGGAUCAACGGACCUACACUUCCCAACUCAAUUUUCACAGCCCUUCUUCACACAAUGCAUGGCUUGCCUGUGGAAGCAGCACAAAUCAUACUGGAGAAAUCCGUCGUAUACAGCAACUAGAAUCUUCUUCACAACAGUUAUAGCCCUCAUUUUCGGCACUAUAUUCUUGAACCUAGGGAAGAAAAUGUAAGUAUCUUUGCUAACAAACCCAAUUAACUUGAUCUAUGUUGGCAUGUUGUGAGAAAGAAACUUACCUGUGCUUAUCUUGCCUACAGAAACAAGAGAUUGGAUCUGUUCAACUCUUUGGGAUCCAUGUAUGCAGCAGUCCUUUUCAUUGGAAUUCAAAACGGCCAGACUGUCCAACCAAUUGUAGACGUUGAGCGAACAGUGUUCUACCGAGAAAAGGCCGCUGGAAUGUACUCCGCUCUACCAUAUGCAUUUGCGCAGGUAAAUGGUCAUAGCUGCAUAUUUAAACAAAAAACAAUUGCAGUGUGCUUCCUUUAUUAUACGGAAAAAAAUCUAACAAUUUAUCCUUUCAACAGGUUCUUAUUGAGAUACCACACAUCUUCCUCCAGACUGUCGUGUAUGGUCUGAUCGUCUACAGCCUGAUUGGCUUUGACUGGACAGUUGAAAAAUUCUUCUGGUACAUGUUCUUCA
Molecule: long non-coding RNA, 1302 nt
Filed under: Oryza sativa (Asian cultivated rice)
Lineage: Eukaryota; Viridiplantae; Streptophyta; Magnoliopsida; Poales; Poaceae
Description: long non-coding RNA (OSAT_LNC000289)
Source: RNAcentral